CAAGGACCAGAGCAGCGAUAUCGAUGGUGCCAAGGACCAGAGCAGCGAUAUCGAUGGUGCCAAGGACCAGAGCAGCGAGGUCGAUGGUUCCAAGGACCAGAGCAGCAAGGUCGAUGGUGCCGAGGACCAGAGCAGCGAGGUUGCCCGUGCCCAGGACCAGAGCAGCGAGGCCGACAGCAAGGACCAGAGCAGCGAGGCCGAUGGUUCCAAGGACCAGAGCAGCAAUGUCGAUGGUGCCGAGGACCAGAGCAGCGAGGUCGAUGGUGCCGAGGACCAGAGCAGCGAGGUCGAUGACAAUGAUGAUCCAAGUAGUGAAGGCAACGCCCCUGACAGUUUGAGCAGCGAGGUCGGAACCCAGGACCCAAGCAGCGAGGCCGAUGGUGCGGAGGGUUCAGACGGCCACGACGAGACCGAGACAAACAGUGACCAGACCACUUCUGAAGAAGUGACGGACGACCAGGUGGACGACAGCGUCCACACUCCGACACCUCAGGCCGGACCUUGAGGCCGUGACCUCUGACCUGUGGACGCACCUCGACCACAGAGCCAAAACCUGCUGCCUUCACUGUGGAAUAACAUCGCCAUGACAACCAGCACCACAACAACAACCUGAACUGCAUCUAAAACGUUGACUCUCCGUCGUCUCCCUGCUGAAAGCCUGUGUUUGAUUUUAACUCUGCUGCUUUAGCUCCAA
Long non-coding RNA from Cynoglossus semilaevis (tongue sole), 694 nucleotides. RefSeq lists it as uncharacterized. The transcript is spliced from 6 exons. Lineage: Eukaryota; Metazoa; Chordata; Actinopteri; Pleuronectiformes; Cynoglossidae. The record is from RefSeq and is a predicted model, not a curated record.